This 787-nucleotide ribosomal RNA is filed under the name uncultured Alphaproteobacteria bacterium. Its description in RNAcentral is "bacterial SSU rRNA". It matches the Rfam family "Bacterial small subunit ribosomal RNA", at positions 39 to 874 of the family's 1533-position model. Lineage: Bacteria; Pseudomonadati; Pseudomonadota; Alphaproteobacteria. The record is from RNAcentral.
GCGGCAUGCCUCAUACAUGCAAGUCGAACGAAGUCUUCGGACUUAGUGGCGCACGGGUGAGUAACAUGUGGGAAUCUACCUAAAGGUUCGGAAUAACUGCGGGAAACUGUAGCUAAUACCGGAUGUGUCUGCAAAGAGAAAGAUUUAUCGCCUUUAGAUGAGCCCGCACUAGAUUAGCUAGUUGGUGAGGUAACUGCUCCACCAAGGCUACGAUCUAUAGCUGAUUUGAGAGGAUGAUCAGCCACACUGGGACUGAGACACGGCCCAGACUCCUACGGGAGGCAGCAGUAGGGAAUAUUGGACAAUGGGGGAAACCCUGAUCCAGCAAUGCCGCGUGAGUGAAGAAGGCCCUCGGGUUGUAAAACUCUUUCAUCAAUGAUGAUAAUGACAUUAAUUGAAGAAGAAGCUCCGGCUAACUUCGUGCCAGCAGCCGCGGUAAUACGAAGGGGGCUAGCGUUGUUCGGAAUCACUGGGCGUAAAGCGUAUGUAGGCGGAUCAAAAAGUUAGAUGUGAAAUCCCUGGGCUCAACCCAGGAACUGCAUUUAAAACUAGUGAUCUAGAAUUUGGUAAAGGUUAGUAGAAUUUCCAGUGUAGAGGUGAAAUUCGUAGAUAUUGGAAAGAAUACCAGAAGCGAAGGCGACUAACUAGGCCAUUUUUGACGCUGAGAUACGAAAGCGUGGGUAGCAAACAGGAUUAGAUACCCUGGUAGUCCACGCAGUAAACGAUGAGUGCUAGUCGCUGGGACAAUAGUUUCAGUGUCGAAGCUAACGCAUUAAGCACUCCGCCU